UCGAGCAGACCUGUGCCGCUCCGCAGAGCGAGUUCGCCCAAAUAAAAAAAGAAUUAUACGAAAUUCCGCCUGUGCUGUGUUAGGAGCAGAGAAAAGAAUAAUUUUAAACCAACAUACACAAUCAGUUAGUUUCCACCGACAGUCCGCAGAAACCAUUCGACGACAACGGUACUCGCGCGCGAUUGUCGGCAAUCCGAAAGAUAGCCAAAUAUUAUUAUUCUUCAGAUACUCACCGAGGGCGUUGAUUAAAGAUCACCCAGACAACUGCAGAUCCGAGUGAAGUGCUUUCAAAUCACUAAACAAAAAUUCUGUGUGAAAAAUCGUGCGUUAAUUAAUUUUCAAAAAUACAAGCUCCCUGCGAAUUUCACCAGCUGGAGCAACCGAAGUGACCCACCCGCCAAGCAAAUCGAACCCAAAUCGAUCGGUCGAUCGAACGUGUGAAAAGGACUUUCGGUUUCAUUAAGAGUGCUGAUUUUCCCCGGCAAAGCGGACUUUUUGCGGAAUAAAUACCAAUACUAAUACAAAAAAACAACCGCCGUGGCAACUAUAACAAUAAAAACAACAUCACUGCAACAACAGCCGUGGCAUCUUCAUAGAUUUUGGCUCUCCUGAAGCAACAACUUCUGUCUGCACUUCGUAUAUGUACUUAUCACGUAGACAUAUAUACGCACAGAUAUAUAAAACAAAAAACGAUCGAUUCUCGUGCCAGCGCGUGUGAUUGUGUGCGUUCCCAUGUUGCAUAUAUAUAUGCACAAAAAAAUAUAUAUAUACAUAUAUAGUAUAUAUAACUAGAGCCGACUGUUGCGACGACUUUUCUAUAUAAUCGGCUAGUGAGCACGCAGACAUCGAAAAGGUGCACAAAUACACCAACAGAUGCGGGUAUAUAUGUAUUGCACAUAUAUCUAGCCAAAGCCAAAGUAGAAGAUAUAUAUAUAUGCGUAUAAGCUGAACGCGGCGCACUCUGCUCUGUUUUUUCUUUUAUAAUUACUUUUGUCUAAAAUUAGAAGACGUGUGUGUUGUGUGUGCCCCGUCCGUGUAUCCGUAUCCGUGAGAUACGCGUGAGUGUCCGCGUCUGCUAUAUCGCACAUCAUCAUCGCCGUACACCAUCCGCCGUCCAACAUCCACCAUCAUCAUCAACAUCAUCAUCACCACCAUCGUGGUCUUCGUCGUCGUCAUCGUCAUCAGAGAUCACAGAUCUGCGGCGGAGUGUGUGCCAGAAAAGACGACUCGUGAAUCAGACUACGGCUACGGCUACGACUACGGGUGCGACUACGGCUAUAUAGGCGAGAGAUCGCGUAUACGGCCAGACAAACAUUAUCGUAUAUCUGCUGGCGAGGAUUACAAUUACAAGAUCAGCAAACGCAACAGCAACAGCAGCAGCAACAGCAGCAGCAGCGGCAUCCGAAGCUAAAGCCGAAUACGAAUACGACUACGAGUUCGAGUGCGAGUACGAAUAUCCGAGCCGCACAACCGAAUACGUUUACGAAUACGAAUCCGAACACGAAUCGAGGCGAUACGAAACGAUCGCGCGCGUGAAAAGCCUCGUGAAGAAAAGCGCUACGAAACAAAAAGUGGGGGAAAAAUCAAACGCCACGCGACCUUAGGCCCGUCCAAUUUUGGGGGGGGUGGGCGUGCAGCGGGGCGUGGCCGUGCGUCGACUCCUAGCGAUCGCUCAAGUGAAACGCGGCGAAAUUCUGUUCAGAUAACAAAAAUGAGUCACCAAAAUAAGCAGCAACAGCAACAGCAGCAACAGAAGCAGCAGCAGCAGCAACAUCAAAAGCAACAGCAACUAUCGAGUGCGGCCAAGUGUUCAUAAAUUAAUGCUAGGCAUACAGUGUGUUAGACCAGUCCGAAAUACGCUAUCCCCUCUCUCUCUCGCUCUCGAACAGUCCGUCUCUCUCUCUUGCCCCUGCUGUCGCUCAAAAUGCUACGAAACUAUCGAAAGUAUUUGCAGGAUAAACGGAAAUACGACAAGCCACAACGACGAGGCAGCGAAUUUUACAUUUGUCACGUUUAGGCAAAUUGCAAGGACGCAGGACACAGGACACACCAACACCCCAGCAGCAGCAGCAGCAGAAGCAGCAUCACGCAGCAAUACGCAGCAGCAGCAGCAGCAACGCGCAGCAGCAGCAACACUCGCUAUCGAGAUUUUGUACAUAAAGUCGGGGCAAUAGCAGCAACAACUUUGGAGGACGCCAUGUAUGCGCAACAUUUGCGCAAAUGGAGUCUAAAAACAAAAAAGCAACUAAUGCCAUUGAUAUUGCUAAUUAUCAGCUACAUGUCAGCAACAUGUGUGUUGUCGUCGUCGGCGACGACGCAGCAGCUGCAGCUGCAGCAGCAUCUGCAGCAACAGCAGCAGCACCUUCCAAGAUUAUGGGAAGGCAGUGCCGAAGAAAGCAGCUACUAUAUACCACUGAGUUCGGAUAACGGCAGCGGGAGCAGUGAAAGCGCCGAGAGCGGCACCACCAGCAGCAGUAGCAGCAGCAGCAGCAGCAGCAGCAGUAGCAACAUCGACAACAAUAUCUUAAGUAGGCUGCUCAGCCGCAACAGCAAUAGUCUUAGUAGCCGUAGCAAUGUUAAGUUAAAGCCAGCAACAGUAUUCGACGCCGGCAGCAGUUCACCCGCUCAGCAGGAGCAACAUGUGGCUGCGGUGCCAGAGCAGCAGCAGCAGCAGCAGCAGCAGCAGCAGCAGCAGCAGCAGCAGCAGCAGCAGCAGCAACAGCAGCAGCAACAGCAGCAGCAGCAGUCAAUGCAAAAAGUUCCAAAUACUUUAAUCAAUAGUCAAAUAUAUAAUUUAUUAUACAAUGGCAUGCCCAGCGAGGCGGCGAGCAGCAAAAUGCGUCGUCACAUACAACCCACACAGCUGCCACAUCAGCCAGAGAGCUUGCCCCAAUUGCCGAGCAACUACAGCAGUCGGCCGGCGGUGCGCAGCUAUCUGAUAGAGUCCUAUGAGUUGCCAGUUAGCCAGCUGGAGGAGGAUCGCAGUGCGGAGCAGGCGGCGCGAAGUCGUCGGGAUGGCAGCGGCAAUGCCAAUGGCAGCCGGCAGAAACAUCGCAAUGGCCAUCGGAAGCAGUUGCAGCAGGACAGACGCGAUGAUCGCCGCCAGCGGCAGGAUCAGCAGGAGGAGCAGCGCCGCCAGCAGCAGCCGCAUCAGCAUCAGCAUCAGCACAAGAGCAGCAACAAGCAUCACCACCAGCAGCAGCAGCAGCGUGGGAAGCACCAGCGGAAUCGCCAGCGGAAUCACCAGCGAUCUGGACGGUACUGCUCCGCCCGGGAUCCCGCGCAACUGGCGUAUGCGGCGCCCACCGUUUUCCAGGGCGUCUUCAAGUCCAUGUCCGCCGAUCGGCGGGUGAACUUCUCGGCCACCAUGAAGGUUGAGCGCGUGUACAAGCAGCAGCACGACCUGCAGCUGCCCACACUGGUGCGACUGCAGUUCGCGCUGAGCAACUCCAGCGGCGAGUGCGACAUCUACAGGGAGCGACUGCUGCCGCGUGGCAUGCUGCGGUCCGGAAAUGAUCUGCAGCAGGCCUCGGAUAUAGCCUACAUGAUGUUCGUGCAGCAGACGAAUCCCGGCAACUUCACCAUCCUUGGCCAGCCCAUGAUGGUCACCGAGUCAGUGAUGAAAGCGGUCGAAUUGGCUGUGAGCGAAAACUAUGCACAGAACGCAUCAAUCGAGAGGAUCAAGAUGGAGCCGAAUAACACCACCAUCCGGGAUGGUGAGCAACUGAAGAUCAUCUGCAAGGUGUCGGGCUGGCCGCUCCCGAAGGUCACCUGGUUCAAGGACGACAAGUCCAUCAAUCGCAAGCGCAACAUUUACCAAUUCAAGCAUUACAAAAGACGUUCCGAGCUGAUAGUGCGCUCCUUCAAUAGUUCCUCCGAUGCGGGCAAGUACGAGUGCCGGGCCAAGAACAAGGCCAGCAAGGCGAUCGUCAAGCGCCGCAUCAUGAUCAAGCCCUCAGAAGUUCACUCUCCUCCACCAGACGGGUCAGGCUUGGGCACACCCUGCCAAUUCGAGUACUGCUUCCAUGAUGGCGACUGCAGGAUAAUCUCGGACAUCAACGAGGUCUAUUGUCGUUGCCCAAACGAAUACUUCGGCAAACGUUGCGAGAACAAAAGGCCCGACAGUAGGUACAGCUCUCCCGAAUCAUGCAAAAAUUAUCAGGGAGGUUAUUACUGCUAAAAUAGGCACUUCUAUAGCAUCGAUUGUUUUACGAGUCGAGUCGAGUCGAGUCAAACGCGAGUUAUACACAAUACCUAAACCGAAACAAACCGAAUCAAAUCAAAUCAAAUCAAAUCAAAUCAAUCAAACCGAACUCAGUGCCCAUACCAAAAUAACGAAUAACAUAAAGUAUAAUAAAAUAAAAAUACUAUAACUAAACAGAUCUAUCUGCAAAGUAGUACUACAACCUAAAAUAGUAAAAAGAUAUUUUGUUGCAAUCUACGGCCAAAUACAUACCUUAAAUAACGACUAUUAAUGCAUAGAAUUUGGUUUCAUUAUUUUUAUGAUUUUAUAAACAAAACGAAAAGCAAAAAACAAAAAAAUCGAACUCCCUGCACUCCAAAACAGACAAUUGUAAUUUUUUACGUUUAUUUAAAAAAUUAGAGAAUUCGUUGCACCAGCAGACCAUGCCCAAAAAAAAAACCCAUCACCGUUCUCAAAGUUUGCAACUACAAUGAAAACAUAUCCGAAAACAGAAAACAUUUCAAAAUUCGUACAAUUCCCCCCUCGCCUAGAGUUCCUUCCUACCGAGCGAAAAGUUCCAGAAAAGAUCCAGACUUUAGCUGACUUUAGCUACGUUCGUUUUUGUGCACGGUGACAGAAUAUCCGAAAUGUAUAAAUCUGAUGUAUGAAAUCUGAGCAGAAUUUUAAUUUAUUUAUUAUACGAAAUAUAUAACAUCUAAGUUCGAAGUUUGAGGUUCAAAGUUCGAAGUUCGAGAGCAAAGCAUUACCGAUUCGACCCUGACUUUGACACUGUUGCGCUUUUGUUGUUGUACCAUAGACAAUACUUUUAAAUUGAUAACAAAGGUUGACGUAGCCGAGAACUUUGUAAUAAAUCCUGUAAAUAGCUCUCGUUUUAACUAACGAUAAGUUUUGUGUACAUUUCAACUAAGGUAAUGCAAGCCCUUCUUUAACCGUAAUUUAUUGUAUUUAAUUACACCUAAAUUAAACGUAAUUCUAGCUAUAAGCUCACACACAAAUACACACACACCCACACAGCUACUUAAUUUCGAAAUACUAUAUUAUUUGUCCUCGAUUUUAAUUUGCGAUUUUGCAAUUUGAACACCAAAAUAUGUAAAAUGGCAAAUUAGUUAUUUUUUUCACCAUGUGUAUGUUGACAUCAGUUUCUAUGGCUAAGCGUAAAGCAAGGAAGUGCGUAGAGAUUAUUUUUAGUUAUUUUAAGU
RNA transcript from Drosophila teissieri, 5403 nucleotides. It is a transcript of the gene named protein vein, with no coding region annotated. NCBI's taxonomy places the organism in Eukaryota, Metazoa, Arthropoda, Insecta, Diptera, Drosophilidae. The transcript is spliced from 6 exons. The record is from RefSeq and is a predicted model, not a curated record.